Molecule: microRNA, 22 nt
Filed under: Pongo pygmaeus (Bornean orangutan)
Lineage: Eukaryota; Metazoa; Chordata; Mammalia; Primates; Hominidae
Also listed under: 1 other name
Description: ppy-miR-1469
Source: miRBase by way of RNAcentral
CUCGGCGCGGGGCGCGGGCUCC